GCUGCUGUGUUAUUUGUAAAAGAUGAAUCAUCUUGUUUCAAGAAAUAGACUUGAAUUGAAACAACAAAUUUGCUUUAUUGAAAACUGCAUGGCACGCCCAACUCAUGGUACAGUGUGGCUAUUACAUUUCCAUCAAACCAUGUCCAUGUGAUAUGUAAAAAAGACAGAGGCAAAAGAGGCACUCUGGACAUACUGCACCACAUUAUUCCACAAGUAAUAAGUACAAAUAAAUGUUGUCAUCAAUUACAGUGUUUGUCAGUGCUUAAAAAAAAAAUCAGCCCAAAUACCCACACUCAAUACAGACUCAAGAAUGAUGUUUGAUGAUGUCUGUGAGAUCAUACAUCAGUGGAAUGUACUUGCUAUUAUUGAAGUUUGCAUAGUAGUUUGGUGUAUAAUCAACAAGCUUUUCAGCAUCCAUGAAAAUAUUGGCUUGAGCAAGGUCGGGAACUUCUACCUCAUAAGCUAAAUAAUGAUCAUUCCACCCAACUGUAGAGAGACGUUGGCAUUCAAAACAUAACACUGACACAUUUAAAAUAUAAAUGUUUUUACAAGUGCAAACUUCGAUGACAUUAGAAAUAACCAAAGAUUUUCCACAUGUAUGCUUAUUUUUAUGUUGCAUAAUCCACAGGAAGGAAACUAUAUGUUCAACGUGCUCUAUUUCUUAGAAUUCUUUAAUCUUUCUUUUGACAUAGUAAACAUUUUUCACCUCAGAGGCUGGGCUCAUGUCAACUUCACUUGAACAAAAUGUUUCUCAUGCACAUUCUGACUACAUUCAUAAAGUUGGUUGUGCUUAACAAGAGACUUACAGAUAUUUUUAAAAUUACUUUUCAAAGCCCACUGCUUAAAAAAGCAAUGCUUUGACUCAAAGCGCAUACACAUAUGCCUCACUGUAGGACCAAGUGCCUUAAUCUGAGAGGGAAGAUGCAGCAAAUAAUGCUGUUUAGGUAUAAUAUUUGCAUCUGGAAACAGUUGUUUAAAAUGUUUCAAAUGUUGCUCUAUUAAAAGCUUCAGCCUUGAAAGAGUUUAGAGAGCUAUAAUAGGUGAAAACAGAAUUUUGACUAUCUCUAACAACUUGAGUAGCAUUUGUGUGUAAUCAUUUUCUCCAAUUUUGUCAAUGAGAAAUGGCAGGAUCUUUAACAAAAACAAGAUGCUUUAAAACACAUUUGAUUUCAUAUGGGGUAACACCUUCAAGAAUGACAUGCAUGAUGUCUUGUGGGGUUUGAUUGAUUAUAUCAAAGUGAGGAAAUUCUGCUAAUUUGCUUAUCCUGUUUAUGCCAUAUGUCAUUUUUAGAUUGUCUUUCAGAAAGUCAGUAUUUUCCUUUUCAGUGUCAUUACAUUGGCUGUUAUGACUUGCCAUUGUCCAUUUAACAAACAAAUCUUCAUUAAAUUGCCUUGUCUUCAAAGUUGCAUUCGCAGUGCCUGCAUUUACUUUAGGCAAACCCCACUCGUAUCUUAAAUACAGCCACACAUGCUGAGCUAGAGUGUCUCCGCACACAGACAUAAGUCUCACCUUUUGCAGUGACAACCUGGACAACAUUACACAGCUCAGUUAAGUCACGGUUAUUUCUCUCAAAUAUCUCAUCAAUACCACAAUGGGAAAGAUCUUUUGAUUUUACCAUGGCAAGCAGACGAAUGGCAGCAAGUCUUGAUCUGUAUUCAGGGUUGAUGUUACCUAAGGUGUAAUAAAUCAAUAACAAUUUGUUUUUGUUUGCCCGAGAUCCAAGAGGAUUGCAUAACUCAAUUUCAUCUGUAUAUAAAACCAAAUGCAAUGCUCUGGGAAAUUACAAAAACAGUGGGUGCGACUUAAAAAUGUCUCCAUCAAUGAAAUCAUGAAGAAAUCCAUCCUUGUGUAACAGGGCCACUCCACCCAGGGACUCUGCGUUGUGUUGUGUUGUGCUUUUGUGCUGUCCAGAAUAUGUAUUGCACACCGACACAGAACUUGAGCAAGUCUGACAACAAUACUUUGAGCUGUCGAAGAGAGGCGAACAGCGCAACUGCCAGAUGUCAAAGGAGCUCAGAUGCCGGCUCAAUCGAAACACCAUGACCAGACAAGGAAGAUCCCAAAGCCUACCUGAAGAAGCACCCUCUGCCCUGUCCAGUCCUGAUGCUAACAAGUCUGCAGAUGUUGACAGUCCAGACACCUACAGUCCAGCAACCAUGGCCAAGCACUACAAGACACUACAAACUUUGUAUAAAAGAACAAAUCUGAACCACCAGGAUGUCUCUCAUCUCUUGGAUUUAGAAUUUGUGGCCAGACGAGCGUUCAUUGAUUCAAAUACCGUUCGCGAGAAAGACAGACGCUAGAAGAUGAUGGAGGAGCUUCAAUGCAUUUUGGAUAAGGAUAAUACCAACUGUAUCGAUGAACUGAAGGAAAGAUGGCAAGACUUCUGCCAGAAGGUGCAGUUUUUUGGUCUUUGGAAGAAGGCGCUGAAACCCCCAAUGGGAAUGGACAAAGGUAAUGAAUCUUUUCCUGCAGCUGAACAGGCUCUUGAGAUCUUACGUGUGCUGCCAUCACUGUUCCCCUCCACGUCUGCUCCUCCAAAGAGGCUACAAGAUGCAAGUGAGGCUCUGGUCCAUGUCCUUGAGGAAAAAAAAAAGACCCCAAUUUCUACUUGAAGAAACGCCCUCUCUCCUGCCCAGUACUGAUUGUCAGUCCAUCCAACUGCCUCCUAGCGGUAGGAGAUGUGGCAAUAACCACUUUUCAAAAAGACAAGCUUACUGAGAGUGCCUUAUACCUCAUGGCCUACUACUGUAUUAUACCCUACACCUGACUUAUCCAAAGUGUGUAGCCACUCUGCUUUCAGUCAUACAGACAGAGGUCCUCUUAGACGAAAUCCAUGCGAGAAAUCUCACAUCGUCUUACAAGAAAAGCAUGGCUGAGUGUAAAGGUUUUAUUGGCCAAUAAAACCAGUGGUCAUAUGGUGUAGAAUAGCACUUCCUCUUUCCCUCCAUGGGUACUACAAUCCAUGCUCAUUGCUAUUGAUUUUUGGUCGGAAUUUGGCUAAGUUAGCUCAGUGUUAAUUUGGGGUGCACAACAAUAUUAGCUAACAUGCUGAUAUUGGCAAAAAGUCCAGUAUGGUGCAUCCUUGAUGAUGUUACAAUGGUUUAUAGUGUAUUGAGGGACUAUUUGUUUAUGUAAGCCCAGAAUCUUUAAUUUGAAUGUUGCAUUAUUAAGCAUUUGUAUUAAGAAUGAAUGUCACAGGUGGAGCAGUUUUAGUGUACCUAGUGUGUCUAUAUGCUUUGAGUGUUUGAGUUUUGUACAUGUAUCGAGGGGCACAUUGGUCAGAUGUUUGGACCUGACCUUAACUCACUCACAUAUUUGGUAUAUUCUGCUAUGUUUACAUAUUGCAGUUCCAUAAAUACUGUGAGCCAAAAUGUUGAAAAUGAAAAAAAUAAAUGAGGCUGUUUCCCUUUU
Larimichthys crocea (large yellow croaker) is the source of this 3415-nucleotide long non-coding RNA. RefSeq lists it as uncharacterized. The record is from RefSeq and is a predicted model, not a curated record. The transcript is spliced from 6 exons. NCBI's taxonomy places the organism in Eukaryota, Metazoa, Chordata, Actinopteri, Sciaenidae.